GAUGAACGCUAGCGGCAGGCCUAAUACAUGCAAGUCGAGGGGUAACAUGAGAGCUUGCUCUUGAUGACGACCGGCGAACGGGUGCGUAACGCGUAUGGAACUUACCUCGAACUAUGGGAUAGCCCCGGGAAACUGGGAUUAAUACCGUAUGAUGUAAUUGAAUCGCAUGAUUUAAUUAUUAAAGAUUUAUCGGUUCGAGAUGGCCAUGCGUGACAUUAGCUAGAUGGUGAGGUAACGGCUCACCAUGGCUACGAUGUCUAGGGGGUCUGAGAGGAUGAUCCCCCACACUGGUACUGAGACACGGACCAGACUCCUACGGGAGGCAGCAGUAGGGAAUAUUGGUCAAUGGGCGAAAGCCUGAACCAGCCAUGCCGCGUGCAGGAGGACGGCCCUCCGGGUUGUAAACUGCUUUUAUAUGGGAAGAAACCCUCCGAUUUAUUGGAGGCUGACGGUACCAUAAGAAUAAGGAUCGGCUAACUACG
This 482-nucleotide ribosomal RNA is filed under the name uncultured Bacteroidota bacterium. Its description in RNAcentral is "bacterial SSU rRNA". It matches the Rfam family "Bacterial small subunit ribosomal RNA", at positions 28 to 505 of the family's 1533-position model. The record is from RNAcentral. Lineage: Bacteria; Pseudomonadati; Bacteroidota.